Oncorhynchus masou masou (cherry salmon) is the source of this 716-nucleotide long non-coding RNA. RefSeq lists it as uncharacterized. NCBI's taxonomy places the organism in Eukaryota, Metazoa, Chordata, Actinopteri, Salmoniformes, Salmonidae. The record is from RefSeq and is a predicted model, not a curated record. The transcript is spliced from 3 exons.
AUUCAUCCGUGCCUAUAAUGACUUUGUGGACUACCUGAGUGACCCCUCCAAGAAGAUUGACAUUGAGCGGGAGCUGGCUGAGGCAAAGAUCCAUCAUGUUAACCUGAUAGAUGUCCUCUUUGAACUGGUGCUGUUUGGGUUGAUGACAGCUCAGAAGUCCCUGAUGGUGCACCCUGGUGGGUUCAUGGAGCGUCUGUACGCUCUCCUGCACUCCUUCCUGCCCGCUGCUGCCAGCAUUGAGCCAAAGGCUGAGAGAUACCUGCUGCUGCUCAAUGUAAGAGUCAAGAGUUGACUUCCUUAUUCCUAGUUGACUUUUUCCUGAAUAACAGGGUUUCAAUGACAUUUUACAGGGAGUAACUCUCAUUGUCUCUUUCCUCUUGGUAAGCUAGUAACUCAGAGCCAUUAUCUAUGUGUUGUGUGGUGUUCUCUUCAGGGUGGGCUGAUGGCUCUGCUAGAUGACAUUUUUGGGCAGCAGCUGGCCUGGUACUUUAACCCAGUGUCUCUGGUCGCUGAGCUCUCCAGCCUCCUGGAGUACCACCUGGAGAGCCUCAUGGCCAGCAUGUAGUCCUACUGCAGAGAUCUGAAAGGCCACUCUCUCUCUGUCCUUCUCUCUCUCUCUGUCCAUCUCUCUCUCUCUCUCUCUGUCCAUCUCUCUCUCUCUCUGUCCAUAUCUCUCUCUCUCUGUCCAUCUCUCUCUCUCUCUCUCUCUCUGUCCA